UACGUAGGGUGCGAGCGUUGUCCGGAAUUAUUGGGCGUAAAGAGCUCGUAGGCGGUUUGUCGCGUCGACUGUGAAAACCUGGGGCUUAACUCUGGGCCUGCAGUUGAUACGGGCAGACUUGAGUUCGGUAGGGGAGACUGGAAUUCCCGGUGUAGCGGUGAAAUGCGCAGAUAUCAGGAGGAACACCGGUGGCGAAGGCGGGUCUCUGGGCCGAUACUGACGCUGAGGAGCGAAAGCGUGGGGAGCGAACAGG
RNAcentral lists this ribosomal RNA (253 nucleotides) under uncultured bacterium. Its description in RNAcentral is "partial 16S ribosomal RNA". It matches the Rfam family "Bacterial small subunit ribosomal RNA", at positions 524 to 776 of the family's 1533-position model. The record is from RNAcentral.